CUGGCCCUGGGUCUCUCCUUUCUUGGUCUCACUGUUGGGACUGAGUUUUUCAUGGUUAUUUGGGCACAGGAAGACAAGGAGAGGAUGUAAUGUGGAAAUGGAGAACCAUUCCCCUGGGGAAUGUCUGAUGAGAAAUUGAAACGAAUGGGAAAACGAAUGGGAACAGAAGAAAAUUUCUGUCUUCUGCGCUCCUACUCAGCCUGUUUCUUACUCCCCCAAUUGCUGUAGAAGUUACUUUAUGUGAAACCACUAAGGAAUGUUUAAUGUGUCCUGUUGAUUGUGUCCUGAGAGGCAUUGAUCCUAGGGAACAUUUUGUGGACAAAUGGUAUCAGGAACUUACUGGUGUAUUGGCUACAAGAACCUUGAGAACAUUUGAUUGACAAAGAGCAAGGCCUGAAGUCUAUAUUUGUGUUUAGAAGAACGGGCACAAGAUCAGAGAGACAGAGGGAAGCGUGCUUACAAUGAAACCUAAAAGAUGUAUGCAUAUAAUUAGGUUUACUCUUCCAGGCUCUGUAGCCUAUUGACUGGCAGGAAGAACUUGGUCUGAACCCAGAGGAAAGUAUUCUGUUUAAGAAGUUGGAUUGGCUUGAUCCCCCUCUGCCAUACACAGAGGUGGAUAGGAUAGUAUGGCAUAAUAGAAAAAGUAGAGUAAGACAGUCUUCCCUUUUGGGAACAUAUGAGGAGAGUGGGGUUGGCUUGCAAAACUAAGGAAUGCACUUUGUUUCCUGAAACAGCUAGAUGCUUAUUAUGCUAGAGUAGAGUGCAGCUAUUGCAUGAAGCCUCAUAAAUAAUAGAAAUAACUGCUUGAGAUAUGCCUUCAACAGAUAUCCAGGUAUUAAACAAAAUCCAUAACCCACUACAAUGGUUAUAUUUGAAGAAUCAUGUAAAUUUGCAUCAGCCUAGAGAGCCAUCCUUGGGAAAGUACACAUCCCAAAGGAACCAAAAUUACAGAUUUCUAGGUGCUAUACAAGCUGCUGCCAGUGAGAAGGUAUGAUGGGUGGGAGUGGGGUGUGGUGGGUGAUGCAGAUACAGGAUAAGCUGGGUCUUAAUGCCUCACAUCAUGCCCCUGCCCCACACUGGUAAUCUCAUUGACUCCUGUUCAGUCUUUGAUGUCCAUUCUUGUGUUUUCCCUGUAUGUCCUGGGAACCCAUGCUUUCAUUUUCAUUGUCUGUUUGCUUGACAUAAACUAGUUAUGGAGAAAGAACUUUUUAAUAUGGUUUACUUCUUAGAUAAUUUAGAUUUUUUUCUAAUUUCUGUGUCCUAUUAUCCUUAGACUAUGAGUGAGAGCUUAAUCCCAGAUUGUAUAUGGUAAACUGUACUGUACCUUUUGUAAACCAGGCAGCCUGAAUUACUGAAAGCAAUCUCUAUAUGUAGUGACUUAGUCUCAGUUCUUUCAUGUUCCACGUGUAUUCAGAUUGCAGACUAUUACAGAGAUCGAUAGAAUAUAAAAUUGGAGAAGAGGGUCAAGAAAAUUUUGGGGGGUGUUCGAGACAGGGUUUCUCUGUAUAGCCCUGGCUGUCCUGGAACUCACUUUGUAGACCAGGCUGGCCUCGAACUCAGAGAUCCACCUGCCUCUGCCUCCUGAGUGCUGGGAUUAAAAGCGUGUGCACCACACCCAGCUGGAAAUUUUUAUUUCAGUUGUUUUUGUUUCUCUUUUUUCUUACUUUUUAAAAAAUGAUAUUUAUUUUAUGUAUAUGAGUAUACUGUAGCUGUACAGAUGGUUGUGAGUCUUCAUGUGGUUGUUGGGUAUUGAAUUUUUAGAACCUCUGCUCACUCUGGUCAACCUUGCUUGUUCUGGCCCAAAGAUUUAUUUAUUAUUUUACAUAAGUACAUUGUAGCUGUCUUUAGAUGCACCAGAAGGAGGGCGUCAGAUCUCAUUAUGGGUAGUUGUAAGUCACCACGUGGUUGCUGGGAUUUGAACUCAGGACCUUUGGAAGAACAGUCAGUGCUCUUACCAGCUGAGCCAUCUCACCAGCUCCUUGUUUCUCUUUUUUCAAGACAGGAUUUCUUGGUGUAGCCUUGGAUGGCACUCUGUAGACCAGGAGGGCCUUGAACUCACAGAGAUCUGCUUGCCUCUGCCUCACAAGUGCUGGGAUUCAAGGUAUUCCCUACCACUGCUCAAAAUCAAGGAACUAUCCAAAGGGAAUAUUGGAAGUUUAUCCCUCAAGGGAGCCAACACCCUCCCUAAUUCACAGCCAUCAACUCUACUGCUCUCUCUGGCAUAUGUGUUUUAAUAUUUAUAUUAAAGAAGUUUGGCUAUAUGGCAUUCAGGCACAGACAGACUAAAAUCAGAGAGAGAAACAGAAACAGAGAGAUAGAGAGAAAUAUAAGAAUUUAGUGAGUUCACAGGUAUUCCAGAGUCACAUCUUGAAGGGUGGAAAAACUGAGGAUGCUCUUAUCUUCUUGCUCCCUAGUGAAAACGAGGAGAGUAUCCAUCCACACAUCAAUAAAAUGGAUCAUCUAAUAAAUUUAUUUGUCUAUGUUCCUUUGCCUCAUGACAGUAAGAAAAAAAAAAACAGUAACAGGAAAUGCUAGAAGGGUUUAAAUAUGUAAAGGGCCUCAGUAAUGAAAGGAUACAUAAAGAUGGCUGGGUAUCUCCAGAGUAAAUAAGACUAGAAAGCUUUUGCAAGUUAUGACGGUCUGAAGCAGUCAUUUAAGGAACAUAAAGGAUGAGGGCUUCACAUGAUGUAGUAUAUUAAAGUUGGCAAGGGCAGAGAUCAACAAUCUCACAUAUUGGCUAAAAUGAAUCUCAAACCAAGUUUAUUUAGAGUGUCUGGAUAUAUUGCUUCUCAGUUCUUUGGCUAAGAUCAAGUGUAGAAUGUCUGGAUAUUGAAAUAUUAUAAGUAGUUAAAAGUGCCAGACUAGUUGAAAAGUGAUAUUUUGGACAUUAAGUAAUCAUACUUGGAGGCUAUUCUAAUGCGGUCAGAGGGAUUCACAGAAUAUUUUCUCCUUUGUCCUCUCCAGUCAAUGAGCUCUCAUCAGUUUGUAGGCCAUUGACCAGGUUAAUCAGUGUUCUGUACCUGUGGAACGUCACUCAUUGUUCAUGGAGCCAUGGUGACCCUACUCGAUGAAUUAAAAACAUUGUCAGUGUACAAUAAAGAGGCUCAACGCAGGCUUCACAGGAAGCCAUAAUUAGUCAAACAAGGCCUUUGUCUUACCCUCACAUAGAUGGACAACUGGUAGAAAAAGGCUAGAGGAGCCUAAGGGUCCUGUUAAGUCCACUUGACACCUGAGGAUCUGUUGAACACUACAGAAGUGCCACACCACCUUCAGUGGGAUCUGUGUGACAAGUUCCACAGACUGAGGUGGUUUACCUCAGAAGGGGGAGGGAGGCCUCCUGGAACCUGUUGUGGAACUCUUCGCUGAAGAAAAAAUAUUGAGCUGUAGUUCUCAUGGCAACCUAUCUGUUUUGGUUCCUCUUAUUCCUUUUCUUAUUUACAUGUUCCUGGUAGCCUAGGCCAAGACCUUAAGUGAGAAUAAUGGAUUAAGAAACCAUCUUUUGAGAUAGGGUCACUAACAUGACCUUAUGCCUGGGGAAACCAAUGGUUUACUUUUAA
Molecule: long non-coding RNA, 3557 nt
Filed under: Mus musculus (house mouse)
Lineage: Eukaryota; Metazoa; Chordata; Mammalia; Rodentia; Muridae
Description: long non-coding RNA chr10:82162093-82165650
Source: RNAcentral